Molecule: ribosomal RNA, 463 nt
Filed under: uncultured bacterium
Lineage: Bacteria
Description: bacterial SSU rRNA
Rfam family: Bacterial small subunit ribosomal RNA
Source: RNAcentral
GAUGAACGCUGGCGGCGUGCCUAACACAUGCAAGUCGAACGGGGUAAUUUCUUCGGAGGUUACUUAGUGGCGAACGGGUGAGUAACGCGUGAGAAACCUGCCUUUCAGUGGGGGACAACAGUUGGAAACGACUGCUAAUACCGCAUAAUGUUAUUUGGGGGCAUCCUUGAAUAACCAAAGCUUUAUGUGCUGAAAGAUGGUCUCGCGUCUGAUUAGCUAGUUGGUGAGGUAACGGCUCACCAAGGCGACGAUCAGUAGCCGGUCUGAGAGGCUCAACGGCCACAUUGGGACUGAGAUACGGCCCAGACUCCUACGGGAGGCAGCAGUCGGGAAUAUUGCACAAUGGAGGAAACUCUGAUGCAGUGACGCCGCGUAUAGGAAGAAGGCCCUCUGGGUUGUAAACUAUUGUCGAAGGGGAAGAAACAAGACAGUACCCUUGGAGGAAGCUCCGGCUAACUACGUG